This 560-nucleotide ribosomal RNA is filed under the name Burkholderia sp. UFLA01-750. RNAcentral describes it as "bacterial SSU rRNA". It matches the Rfam family "Bacterial small subunit ribosomal RNA", at positions 159 to 714 of the family's 1533-position model. Lineage: Bacteria; Pseudomonadati; Pseudomonadota; Betaproteobacteria; Burkholderiales; Burkholderiaceae. The record is from RNAcentral.
CGGAUUAAUACCGCAUACGCUCUGCGGAGGAAAGCGGGGGAUCGCAAGACCUCGCGCUCAAGGGGCGGCCGAUGGCAGAUUAGGUAGUUGGUGGGGUAAAGGCCUACCAAGCCGACGAUCUGUAGCUGGUCUGAGAGGACGACCAGCCACACUGGGACUGAGACACGGCCCAGACUCCUACGGGAGGCAGCAGUGGGGAAUUUUGGACAAUGGGGGCAACCCUGAUCCAGCAAUGCCGCGUGUGUGAAGAAGGCCUUCGGGUUGUAAAGCACUUUUGUCCGGGAAGAAAUCCCCUGGGUCAAUACCCCGGGGGGAUGACGGUACUGGAAGAAUAAGCACCGGCUAACUACGUGCCAGCAGCCGCGGUAAUACGUAGGGUGCGAGCGUUAAUCGGAAUUACUGGGCGUAAAGCGUGCGCAGGCGGUGCUGUAAGACCGAUGUGAAAUCCCCGGGCUUAACCUGGGAACUGCAUUGGUGACUGCAGCGCUGGAGUAUGGCAGAGGGGGGUGGAAUUCCACGUGUAGCAGUGAAAUGCGUAGAGAUGUGGAGGAACACCGAUG